GCUAUGAAUACAUAGUUUAAGUUCUGGGCAAAAACCAUCUAUCCCCGUAUGUAGAUAAAAUAUUUACUUACUGUGUUCUGGGUCUGUUUUCUCCUAGGUAUGGCAACCGUAACUUGAGUAUAAUGCCACCCAAUUAAUGUUGAUGCCUGAAUUAUGAACCAGAGAUGGAGAAGUGAAAUCACAGAGAGACAAGCAACUUCCUAAGGUUACACUGCUAGUGAGUGUGGGCCAGGGUUCAAGCCCAGGCAGCUUGAUGUUGGAGCCGAUGCUCAGAACCACCAUGCUGUAUUAUUAAAAAGGAUUUGAG
Molecule: long non-coding RNA, 307 nt
Organism: Homo sapiens (human)
Lineage: Eukaryota; Metazoa; Chordata; Mammalia; Primates; Hominidae
Source: Ensembl